This 253-nucleotide ribosomal RNA is filed under the name uncultured bacterium. RNAcentral describes it as "partial 16S ribosomal RNA". It matches the Rfam family "Bacterial small subunit ribosomal RNA", at positions 524 to 776 of the family's 1533-position model. The record is from RNAcentral.
GACGAGCUCUCCAAACGUUAUUCGGUAUCACUGGGCUUAAAGAGUUCGUAGGCGGCCUAGCAGGUCAGGUGUGAAAUCCCACAGCUCAACUGUGGAAUAGCGCUUGAAACCGUUAGGCUUGAGGGAGAUAGAGGUAGGCGGAACAGAUGGUGGAGCGGUGAAAUGCGUUGACAUCAUCUGGAACACCGGUGGCGAAAGCGGCCUACUGGGUCUUUUCUGACGCUGAGGAACGAAAGCUAGGGUAGCGAACGGG